This is a long non-coding RNA of Eptesicus fuscus (big brown bat), 359 nucleotides long. RefSeq lists it as uncharacterized. Lineage: Eukaryota; Metazoa; Chordata; Mammalia; Chiroptera; Vespertilionidae. The record is from RefSeq and is a predicted model, not a curated record. The transcript is spliced from 4 exons.
GUUCUUCAGAAUGUGAUAAGGAGCCAGAAGACAGCAUAUAAACUCAGGUUUGUUUACUUCUGAUGGGUAAAUUAGACAUUAAUGGACAUCUUUGGGGACCCUGUGGUCCAGAUUGUCUCCUUUGACUUUGGCAGUGACAUCAGUUCCUUGGCCUUGAAUCAGGGAGCUGAUAUCUUUCCUACAAUGGGGAUAUAUGACUAGAGGACAGUUGGAUAUAGGACUUAAAAAACAGCAGCACACUGAAGACAGCCAUGGACAGGACACGAAGGUGUUUCCUUUCACCUACUUCCUAGCUCUGGACUACUAUUGACUUAAGCUUUCUUGUGCUUGAUGACUAUUAUCAUAUUAACUUUUUCCAA